UGGGGAAUAUUGGGGCAAUGGGGCGAAAGCCUGACCCAGCGACGCCGCGUGAGGGAAGAAGGUCUUCGGAUUGUAAACCUUAGUCAACAGGGAAGAAGAAAGUGACGGUACCUGUGGAGGAAGCCACGGCUAACUACGUGCCAGCAGCCGCGGUAAUACGUGGGGGGCGAGCGUUGUCCGGAAUUACUGGGCGUAAAGGGUGCGUAGGCGGUUGAUUAAGUUGGAUGUGAAAUACCCGGGCUUAACUUGGGGGGUGCAUUCAAGACUGGUCAACUAGAGUACAGGAGAGGGAAGCGGAAUUCCUAGUGUAGCGGUGAAAUGCGUAGAUAUUAGGAGGAACACCGGUGGCGAAGGCGGCUUUCUGGACUGACACUGACGCUGAGGCACGAAAGCGUGGGGAGCAAACAGGAUUAGAUACCCUGGUAGU
This 427-nucleotide ribosomal RNA is filed under the name uncultured bacterium. Its description in RNAcentral is "bacterial SSU rRNA". It matches the Rfam family "Bacterial small subunit ribosomal RNA", at positions 355 to 794 of the family's 1533-position model. The record is from RNAcentral.